Myxocyprinus asiaticus (Chinese sucker) is the source of this 368-nucleotide long non-coding RNA. RefSeq lists it as uncharacterized. The transcript is spliced from 3 exons. The record is from RefSeq and is a predicted model, not a curated record. Lineage: Eukaryota; Metazoa; Chordata; Actinopteri; Cypriniformes; Catostomidae.
ACUGGGCUGCAAAAUGACCAAGAGGGGUAAAAGCGGAGGGGGGCGCACCUGAAACGCCAUGUGUUGCUGUUGAGCCCUUUGGAGGUGAUGUGGGCUUAUCAACGAAACACAAAGGAAGGAAGGUGCCCACCUGAUGACCCCAAUGAAUAAAUUCUGCCAGUGCAACCAUACAAAAUACACUUAUGUUCAAGAUUUUCUAUAAACAAGCCUUGACAUCUCACAUCGUUUUGCUUAUCAGUAUCUUUCUGCAGGAUUCAUCAGAACGGAGCGGGAUCAGAUCUUUAGAAGUGCUAUCAACUGUAAUGUAUGCCUUCUGCACUGACAGCCAGGUUUGACACUGUGUGAAAUAGUAACAUGCAGUAACUCAG